AUUGAACGCUGGCGGCAGGCCUAACACAUGCAAGUCGAGCGAGCGGAGGCCGGGUGAGUAAUGUAGGGGGAUCUGCCCGAUAGAGGGGGAUAACUAGUGGACACGGUGGCUAAUACCGCAUACUAUCGGCGGAAACCAUAUGGGAUUAGCUAGUAGGUGGGGUAAAGGCUAACCUAGGCGACGAUCUCUAGCUGGGCUGCGAGGAUGAUCAGCCACACUGGGACUGAGACACGGCCCAGACUCCUACGGGAGGCAGCAGUGGGGAAUAUUGCACAAUGGGCGCAAGCCUGAUGCAGCCAUGCCGCGUGUAUGAAGAAGGCCUUAUGGUUGUAAAGUACUUUCAGCGGGGAGGCGUUACCCGCAGAAGAAGCACCGGCUAACUCCGUGCCAGCAGCCGCGGUAAUAC
Molecule: ribosomal RNA, 406 nt
Filed under: uncultured bacterium
Lineage: Bacteria
Description: partial 16S ribosomal RNA
Rfam family: Bacterial small subunit ribosomal RNA
Source: RNAcentral